CUUUAUUUUGCAAGAGUUCUGGAGAUAUUAGAGUGAUUAUCCUUGCUCCUUUUUUUUUUUUUUUUUAAAGCUGAAAUGCUGCCGGUUUUCUUCCUUGUCCCGAGCCUGCAUAACUGCUACCAAGUCUUCCUUCUGACGUUGCCAUCACACAUCGCAUACCACCAAUGAGAUGGAAGAAAUGAAGAGGAGUCUUCCCGGAAAUCAG
Pelobates cultripes (western spadefoot toad) is the source of this 205-nucleotide non-coding RNA. The record is from the annotation of a GenBank genome assembly. Lineage: Eukaryota; Metazoa; Chordata; Amphibia; Anura; Pelobatidae.